GCUUUCGUGGUCUAACGGUAGCACACUCGGCGUAUAUUCGAGAGAUCCAGGGUUCGAAUCCCAACGAGGGCA
This 72-nucleotide transfer RNA is filed under the name Stegodyphus mimosarum. It matches the Rfam family "tRNA". From Rfam's summary of the family: Transfer RNA (tRNA) molecules are approximately 80 nucleotides in length. Their secondary structure includes four short double-helical elements and three loops (D, anti-codon, and T loops). Lineage: Eukaryota; Metazoa; Arthropoda; Arachnida; Araneae; Eresidae. The record is from Rfam by way of RNAcentral.